RNAcentral lists this ribosomal RNA (465 nucleotides) under Vreelandella stevensii. RNAcentral describes it as "partial 16S ribosomal RNA". It matches the Rfam family "Bacterial small subunit ribosomal RNA", at positions 338 to 795 of the family's 1533-position model. Lineage: Bacteria; Pseudomonadati; Pseudomonadota; Gammaproteobacteria; Oceanospirillales; Halomonadaceae. The record is from RNAcentral.
CCUACGGGGGGCUGCAGUGGGGAAUAUUGGACAAUGGGGGGAACCCUGAUCCAGCCAUGCCGCGUGUGUGAAGAAGGCCCUCGGGUUGUAAAGCACUUUCAGUGAGGAAGAACGCCUGGUGGUUAAUACCCAUCAGGAAAGACAUCACUCACAGAAGAAGCACCGGCUAAUUCCGUGCCAGCAGCCGCGGUAAUACGGAGGGUGCGAGCGUUAAUCGGAAUUACUGGGCGUAAAGCGCGCGUAGGUGGCUUGAUAAGCCGGUUGUGAAAGCCCCGGGCUCAACCUGGGAACGGCAUCCGGAACUGUCAAGCUAGAGUGCAGGAGAGGAAGGUAGAAUUCCCGGUGUAGCGGUGAAAUGCGUAGAGAUCGGGAGGAAUACCAGUGGCGAAGGCGGCCUUCUGGACUGACACUGACACUGAGGUGCGAAAGCGUGGGUAGCAAACAGGAUUAGAUACCCUAGUAGUC